GGAUACGAUACUUGGUCUUACCAUUUUAUAUUACUUGUGUGACUCGGUAUACUUGCCGAUUCAACCCAACAAAUACAGACAGUUUGUGCGUCAUGACGCUCAGGUGGAUCGGCAUUGGCUUUCAACAGUUCGGCCAAAUCACGCUCAUCAUUCGACUCCAGAUUGGCCUCGAUGGUGGUUGUUUGCGUCUCUUCUUUGCCCAAUACGAACGGUUUCACCUCCC
This 223-nucleotide long non-coding RNA is filed under the name Vigna radiata. Its description in RNAcentral is "long non-coding RNA (VRAD_LNC006520)". Lineage: Eukaryota; Viridiplantae; Streptophyta; Magnoliopsida; Fabales; Fabaceae. The record is from RNAcentral.